GUGCUUGCUUCCUCGACACAUACUAAAAUUGGAGUGAUACUGAGAUUAACAUGGCCCUGUACAAGGAUGACACACAGAUUUGUGAGACAUUCCAUAUUUUU
Small nuclear RNA from Ictidomys tridecemlineatus (thirteen-lined ground squirrel), 101 nucleotides. The record is from Ensembl. NCBI's taxonomy places the organism in Eukaryota, Metazoa, Chordata, Mammalia, Rodentia, Sciuridae.